AUAAGUAGUGGAAUGCAGAUUCAGGAAUCAUCGAUCUUGAACGCACAUGCGCCCUUGGUAUUCCAUGGGCAUGCCUGUCGAGCGUCAUUGUACCUUCAAGCCUGCUUGGUGUUGGGGUUUGUCUCGCCUCUGCGCGCAGACUCGCCUCAAAACAAUUGGCAGCCGGCGUAUUGAUUUCGGAGCGCAGUACAUCUCGCGCUUUGCACUCAUAACGACGACGUCCAAAAAGUACAUUUUUACACUCUUGACCUCGGAUCAGGUAGGGAUACCCGCUGAACUUAAGCAUAUCAAUAAGCGGAGGAAAAGAAACCAACAGGGAUUGCCCUAGUAACGGCGAGUGAAGCGGCAACAGCUCAAAUUUGAAAUCUGGCGUCUUUGGCGUCCGAGUUGUAAUUUGCAGAGGGCGCUUUGGCAUUGGCAGCGGUCCAAGUUCCUUGGAACAGGACGUCACAGAGGGUGAGAAUCCCGUACGUGGUCGCUAGCCUUUACCGUGUAAAGCCCCUUCGACGAGUCGAGUUGUUUGGGAAUGCAGCUCUAAAUGGGAGGUAAAUUUCUUCUAAAGCUAAAUACUGGCCAGAGACCGAUAGCGCACAAGUAGAGUGAUCGAAAGAUGAAAAGCACUUUGGAAAGAGAGUUAAAAAGCACGUGAAAUUGUUGAAAGGGAAGCGCUUGCAGCCAGACUUGCCUGUAGUUGCUCAUCCGGGUUUUUACCCGGUGCACUCUUCUAUAGGCAGGCCAGCAUCAGUUUGGGCGGUUGGAUAAAGGUCUCUGUCAUGUACCUCCUCUCGGGGAGAACUUAUAGGGGAGACGACAUGCAACCAGCCUGGACUGAGGUCCGCGCAUCUGCUAGGAUGCUGGCGUAAUGGCUGUAAGCGGCCCGUCUUGAAACACGGACCAAGGAGUCUAACAUCUAUGCGAGUGUUUGGGUGUCAAGCCCGAACGCGUAAUGAAAGUGAACGGAGGUGGGAACCUUUCGGGGUGCACCAUCGACCGAUCCUGAUGUCUUCGGAUGGAUUUGAGUAAGAGCAUAGCUGUUGGGACCCGAAAGAUGGUGAACUAUGCUUGAAUAGGGUGAAGCCAGAGGAAACUCUGGUGGAGGCUCGCAGCGGUUCUGACGUGCAAAUCGAUCGUCAAAUUUGGGCAUAGGGGCGAAAGACUAAUCG
RNAcentral lists this unclassified non-coding RNA (1163 nucleotides) under Heterophoma polypusiformis. RNAcentral describes it as "sequence contains 28S rRNA gene". The stretch from base 246 to 1163 matches the Rfam family "Eukaryotic large subunit ribosomal RNA", at positions 1 to 937 of the family's 3401-position model. The record is from RNAcentral. Lineage: Eukaryota; Fungi; Ascomycota; Dothideomycetes; Pleosporales; Didymellaceae.